This is a long non-coding RNA of Drosophila ananassae, 6931 nucleotides long. RefSeq lists it as uncharacterized. The transcript has 3 exons. The record is from RefSeq and is a predicted model, not a curated record. NCBI's taxonomy places the organism in Eukaryota, Metazoa, Arthropoda, Insecta, Diptera, Drosophilidae.
GAGGCUGCUGCGCAGAAUCAAUCAGUUUCAUUUCAAUCUUCAUAGCUUGAGGAUCACCAGCAGCAGCAGUAGCAGCAGCACUCGGAGCAGCGGCACCACAGGAGCAACAGAAGCACCAGGAUCGAGGACUCCUCCGACCGCCAUGACCAGGCGGCGCUAGGGAGGCUCUUGCAGCAUCUCCGUACCGCACCGAUCGCCCAAAAAAACACUCAAAACCGUUUCAUCAUCACCCAGGAAACCCAACAAAAUUCAGUCGAAAAGUUGCAUAAAUUCAACCGCCGAAUGUCAGAUUAAUUUGUAUAAAAACCCAAGUACCUCCAACCGAACUUCAAACCGAAAACGAAAAGUUUACGAAAAUAGUUAUCGUGAAAGUCACAUAUUUACACAUUUUCGUGAGAUGGUUAAAGUAUAAAAAUCCCCUAAAACCAAACAAAAACCAAAAACUUAAACCCAAAAACCAAAAACCCAAAAACUAACAACCCAAAAACUAAAAAAAGUUCAACGAAAUUCGAAAAGCAAACCAAAAUCAGUUCUGGAUACAAAUCAGCGAAAUACCAUUGAAAUAAUUCCAACGAAACAAAAAUACACCUCAUGGAUAUAAAUCUUGAAUAGCUUUUGAAAUAACCUCCCAAAAAUCAAAGACUAAAUUCAAAGAUAAAAUUCAAAAGUAAUAAUCCAAAAAAAGGAAAGCUGAAAACCUCAAAAGUCAAACGAAUCACUUGGAACCAAUUGGAAAGUUAUCAACACAUCUGGAAAAAGCACCAAGAGUGAAAAAAUCUCUAGUUAAGAGAGAUAAUAAUAUUGUUUUUAUAUCUUACAGGAACCCCAAGAAGCUGAAGAACGGAAAGCUAUGGACCGAGCAGUAACCACACAUCUUGAAUCCGGAUCAAUCCCAAAUCCCCAACAAGGAAGUUGUAAUGAAACUCAACAAAAUUCUCAAGUGUUUACUGCUCAUAUUUCUCUACUCCAAUGAUUGGCCGAAAAAUCAAAAGACCCAAAUUCAAAACUACCUCCAAAAUCAAAGCGAAAUUCAAAACCAGCCGAACUGCCAGCGUCUUGAGAAACUGCCCCGCCUACUCGCCACCGCCACAGCAACCGCCACCGCCCACCGAGGAGCCUUGUGCCCCAGCAACAAGCAACAGAACAGGCCCGCAAAUCACUCCGAAUUCAGACAGAAACUACAAGGAAGGAAACCCAAAUUCAAGUUUAGCUACAGAAACAGAGUCCAAGGACUCAGUUGCUGGGGCCGGAGCCAACGCUGAUGAUGAUGAACUCGAUUUCGCUGAGGAUCGAGCAUUUGACGGCGAAAGGAGGCGAACGAAGUCAGCGGAGCGUCAGCAGAGGCAGCGACAUCGACGCCAACGUCAGCGCCAACGCCGGCAGCAGCCGCAGCAGCAGCAGCUAAGAAGGAGAAAGCUGCCCCGCCGUAGAUACCCUGCUGAAUAUCUAAGCAGGGGCAGUGAUUUACCCCAGCAGCAGCAAAGCCAAGCCAAGCCAAGCCACCCCUCGACAGGAAGCACACACAGAUACAGCCCACAUCCUUGCGGCGAAUUCAACCCCACACACUCACACACAAACUCACACGCACACACAAACACAAACACACUAAUACAGAGAGAAAGGAAGGAAAGCCGAAGGAGAAACGAGACAGAGAGAAAGAGAGCGCCACCUAUUCGCUCUCCGUUGGCAGCCACAUUUCGCAAGUAUGUUUUGAUUACUGUUUAGAACCUAAUUUCCAAACAGAUUCGAGGCACCGUUUGAACCAGACCAGAUCCAAAUCCAAAAAGAAGACAUUCCAAAUCAAAAUCCGAAAAAAAAACAGUGAAAAAUUCAAAAUCCUAAACCUCCAAAAAAAUAUCAAUCAGAGUGAAAGUUUAGUAAACUUCAAAAACAAGUUUUCAAAUUAAAAAUUUCAUUUUGAAACAAAAAUUAAAGAUAAAAAACAUAGAAAUAAUUGUAUACACCAAUUAAUUCUAAAACGGAUCAAGAUUCAAAUUAAAAUUAAAAAUUAUAGCCCAAAAACAUAAAAAUAUUUUGACGAAGCAGAUCGGGAUCCAAGUUAAAAACUAACCAACAUUUCAACAACCAAAUUAAACCAAAUUCAACCAAAUUUUUUUCAAGUAUAUUAUGGAACAAACAAUAUCAAAAUCCUAAAUUUAAAUCAAAAUCUAAUUUAAAGUAGCAGAAAAUUCUAAAUUUUCUAAAUUCUAAAAAUAAAAUACUAAUUAAAUUCAAAAUAGCACCAAAGUCAAAUUAAAAACCAAAAUUAUCAACUAAACUUCACCAGAGAAUUCUAAAUUCUAAAAUUCCAACUCAAAAUCAAAUUCACGCACGAGUCUAACCUUAAAAUAUUUAACAAAUUCUAGUUAUAAAUGAAUAUAGUCCACAAAAUCAACUAAAAAACUGAUAUAUAAAACUGCACUUUUUAAAAUAUACAUCAUGGAAACAUUUCUUCUUUUAACAAUAUUUGAGAAAACCAUCUUUGAUUGCUAAAAACACGUAUAAAAUCAAUUCAAAGAACCAAAUUCCAAAUUGAUUAUUGAAAAACCAUACCUUCGUUAUACGCAAAAAAUCAUGUCUUAUGUAUUUCAAAAGUAAAAAUUUUUAAAAAACAAAUCUAAAAUUUACCAUUCCCUUAUUAAAAUUCGAAAUAUUCUUUAAUUCUAAAAUUCAUAAGUACAGUCAAAAAAAUUUUGUUUUUUGUUGAAUGCUAAUUAUUUAAAAAUUGGUAUUUUUACCCACAUUUCUAAAGUAUAUUUUCAUAAAUCUGACAUUUAAUUUUUGAACACUUUCACAAUAAUCCAAAAAAUCAAUAACCAAAAAGUAAAAUUAAUCACAUUUAGAAAUAAAAUUGACUAUUUAAAACAAUAUUAGAACAUUUUUGUAACAAAAAUAUAUUUAUAUAACCCCAAAUUCAACAUCAAUAUUUAAAUCAAUAAUAAUAUUUUGUAAUCUGCCAUUCAAAACGACAUCAACUAUGAAAUUAAAUUCAAUUUAAAGCUUUAAUAAUAUAUUUUCGAAUUUAAAAUUGUGCAAAAGAGAUUUAAGAACUUUAAAUUAUAUUUAAACAAUGAAAAAAAAAGAAUAUUUCCAAUAUUCUUAUCAAAAGAUAAAACAUUUUAUAAAUUUUGGUUUAACUAAAAUCUAUUAAAAAAAUAUACAUAAAAUUUAUCAAUAUAUUUCAUUAUCUUUAUGCUUCAUUAUUAAGACUGCUAUAUUUAGUAAUAUACAUUUAACAAAUUUUUAAUCAAAAAUUAAUUUUAAAAUUCGAAACAAAUUCGUAACCCAUUUUAAUAUUUUGAAUAACAUUUUAUUACUUUUUGAAUAUGCAAGUAAAUAUUUGAAAACAAAAAAAACACAAAUUAACUUAAAUUAACAUCACUCAAUUCUACAUCAUUCGCUCAACUUGAAAAUACUGCUUUAAAAACAAUUUCAAUUGUAAGAAAUUUAACAUUGUUCAAUUGCAAAAAAUUUUAAGAUCUAGAAUACAACAAAAAACCAACAAUUCAAAUCUUAAAUUCUUUUAUUUAGAUAUUUUAAAAUUAUAUGCAUAAAAAAGCGGAUAAAACAUUUUCUUAAAUUACACUUCAAAAACUUUAAAUAUUUGAAAUAUUUCAUCAGUUUAGCCUUUAAAAAUCUCUCAUAAAAUAUUUCAAAUCUGAACAAAACCUCACAUUCAAAAUUCAUAUUCUGUAUCCAUUAAUAAUUCUAUAUCUAAAUUGUUUUAUUUUAGAAACUGAAAGCCAAAAUCAUUCAAAUUUCAUCUUUCGGCAAACAUCUCUGGCAAACAUCAAAAUUUAAACCCAAAAAACUCAAAAUUCAACAACUUCCUGGCCACAAAAUUCAAAAAUCUAUAUCCAAAUCAAAAAUUCUUUAUUACUGCAUGCAGAACAGGUAAUCAAAAAGUUCAAAAUCCACAAAAAAUGAAACAAUUUUUAAAGUUAAAAAAAUAGUAAAGAUGAUGCUGAUAGCUAAAAAUAUAAACAAUCCAAAUUCUUUAAAAAAAAUACAAUAAAAAAUUGAAAUAGAAAAAAUGUAAGCCAGUUCAUAAGUCGCAACAUUCGAGUAACCUUCGUACAUAAUUAUGACCACAUUAAGAUGAUUAAGUACUCGCGGCCCCCAAACAAAUUCAGAUGCAGAAACAAAACAGCGCCAAAAUCCAAAAAUAAGAACAAAAACUACAGCUAAAUUUCAAAAAGGCAGUAUUAUAAAUUACAAGAAAUUGCGGAAGUUUUAAUGCGACAAAUGACAGGAGCAAAAAAGGAGCCUGCAGGCUGCCUGCAGGAGAACCAAAUUCCAAGAGCAACAGGGCGCAGGAGCUGGCAAGAAGACAUAAGCGCGACAUAAACAGGAACAUGGUUAGGGAAGAGUCCUUUCAACUGGCAACUUUCUGGCCAAAAUCUUACAAAUGGCGGCCAAGGGUGCGUAGUGCGGCAGGCGGCAGAUAAAUCACAACGAAACAAAACAAUUCCCAGCUCUCGCAGCUAAAUCCGCCAGAACAAAAACCAAAAAGCUGAAACAGUAACCGAACAGAAACUUGAACAGAAACCGAAGCAAAAAUAAAGACAAAAGCACAUCCAGGCAGCACGCGAUUUCAGUGAACUCUUUCCACCCGUAAGGGGUUGAAAAGCCCAGAAACAUUUCAGAAAAGAAGCAUUUGAGCAGACAAAAUCAUUCCCAUAACCCGGAGGCAGGCACUAGCCUCAAGAUUCGCCGAUGACCACUUUGAUCCGCCCCAGGAUAGGCCUCAAGCCCAUUACUUUCGCCUGACGGCCGCCACACAAAAAAUAUGAUACAAAGUCGAAGACAGAGUCCUACAACUUAACCCAAAUUCAAUUCAAAAUCUAAAUCAGAAUCUGAUUCAAAAUUGCAAACAAAAUGAAGGCAGCGCCAGCAGAACCACAACUUUAAGUAAUAUUUUGAGACGAGUGUCACACGCACAGCAAAAAACAUACCCACUCCAAAAUUGGUGACCAGCUCCAGUCCUCCCAGUUGCCCCAACUCUCUAUUCAGACCUUUCAAAUUGUGGUCAGACUUGGUUUCUUUGGCAAAAGUUCGAACCAUCAUCAUCCGACAUCCAGGAUCCUGCCAGCAACCCGCCACCAGCAUCAGCAUCAGCAUCCACAUUGGCAUCAUGCAGUUGAAAGCACAUCAAACAAAACUCCAAAUUUAUAUAAACUACUGUCGAGGCAAUAGUCGAGGUCGAGGCAUAAUUGCCAUCAAUAAAUAAAAUAUGGCUGGCAUGAGGAGAGGCCAGGAAGAGUCAGGAGCAGUCAGGACCAUAACCGAACAGUACCGACCCUGCCGAAGAAAAGAGACACCCAAUCCCAAUCUAAACACACCCCUACCACCAUAAGCACUCAGUCAAUGGCCACUAGACAGAAGAACGUUUUGAUUUAUAAAUUCAUGGCAAAAGUUGCCCGGCCAAGUGGCAGCAGCAGCAGCACAGCAUCAGACUCCACGGGACGACGACGAUGACGACACACACCACCUAGAAACUUGGCAAACAGCAAGAGCAACAUCAGCAGAAACAAGAAAUGCUAAAACCGUCUUAUGAAAUUACACAUUUCCGACUUGUACUAGCAACCUAAAACUAGCAACCCAUGCCGAAGCCAAAAAAAGCAAAUUGAACUGCUAAAAUUUCAAAUCACUCUCAACCAACCUCAACCCCUCUUCAAUCUGGCCAAGAAAUUUAGUUAUGAAUUUUAUUUACACACACGACCCAUCGAGGAGCAGUAUCUAACCUUUAACCUUUGGCUAGUAGGAAAGUGAAGAAUGUUUCAGGCAAUUUGGAAAUUUGCAAAAUCAUUGAGACAGACGCUAGAAGCACCCACAAAACGUAGCAAAUGGAAUCUUGUACAAUAGUUCUAUUGAAAGUCAUUCCAAAAUUUAUAUAUCCUUCUCGACCAAGAUCUAAGCAAAGAGAGAGACAGAUAUAGAUAGAUAGAUAGAGAGAUACAGAUAGACAAGCUGAAAGGGGGCUACACCCGAUAGCCUGAGAAAGACAUAGGACAAGAAAACAUUUCGGACACAAGGUUGGGGGAUACCUAGUGUAAUUGCUUAGACUUAAGAGUGUUGCACUUGCGGGCACACAAGUGCAGGACCGACUGACCCCGCCCACAACGCCCUCGUCCUUCUCUACCCCACCCCUAGAUAAUGGAAAAUUCCCAUUGGGCAGACCCAAAAAGAAAAGAAAACGAAAAUGAAAAACGUUAGUUACAGCUUAGGCCUCUUUUGACCCAAAAAAAAGCACCAUCAUCAGGAAUUACGAUUAAGCGCGAAUUGUACAACGUAACUACACUCUGUAUCCCCUUAGUUAAGCUAAAAAUUAAUACAAGAAAUUGCACAAAAACGCAAAAAAAGGGUCAAAAACAAAUCUAGAUAAUGCCAAUCCUUUUGCCUAAAAUUUCAAUUCUUGGAAAUUUCGCUUUUUAUUUGCGAAAUGUUUUAGACGAAACGAUUGUCGCAUUUUUUAUGUAAUUUAAUAUGCAUUCCAUUAUAGCCACUCGUAUAUUUUCUAUACAUAUAUUUUAUUUCGAUAUUCUCCCUACUAUCAUUAUCUUCGUCAGUUUCAGUUUUUUAUAUUUUCGACAAAUGUGAUAAGAAAAAAAUGUAAAUGUAAUAUCAGGAACACUAAAAUGUACCCCAAAACCAAACUAAAUCAAAACUGUGUUAAUCAAUCUUUGAUAGAUCUUUUUACAAAAAACACUAUUUCGCCAUAAGAAAAAUAACAAAUUAUAUUCAAGCAUGCUAAAUUAUAAUUUAUCCCAAUAAUGUCAAAAUCACGCUUUUAUUUACACCAAAAAUUUUAAAAAUAAUAACCUCGCACAUCAAAAAUCAACAAAAAUAUUGUAAAAAUUAGAAAUAGUAUGAUUACGAACCAAACAAAAAUCAAUAAAAUUGUACAAGCCAAUUUGCUCUAAUAACAAAA